UUCGGCAACCGGCUGCCUCGGUGGCACCGUCUCCCGCUCGGAACGGUUCGCCGUGCCGCCGCGCACCCGAG
Molecule: microRNA precursor, 71 nt
Organism: Chrysolophus pictus (golden pheasant)
Lineage: Eukaryota; Metazoa; Chordata; Aves; Galliformes; Phasianidae
Source: Ensembl